GAGAAUUGUCUCCCCUUGUUCCCGGGCCUGAGUGCCCGCCUAGGGGAAGUACAAAACCACCUGUUUACCUAUACCUGUUGCUUCCGUGGAGACAUGGGUGCCCAUCCUGCUUUAGCAGGCGUGGGUUACCUUCCACGGGUGUGCCUAAUAAAAAACCGUUUGUCAUUGAGCAGUGUCUGAAAAAACUUUACAAUCAAAGUUA
This 202-nucleotide unclassified non-coding RNA is filed under the name uncultured fungus. RNAcentral's name for it is "sequence contains ITS1". The record is from RNAcentral. Lineage: Eukaryota; Fungi.